Molecule: long non-coding RNA, 1024 nt
Organism: Vanessa tameamea
Lineage: Eukaryota; Metazoa; Arthropoda; Insecta; Lepidoptera; Nymphalidae
Exons: 2
Source: RefSeq, a predicted model, not a curated record
CUACGAUAUCGAUACUGUGAUAAAAUUUUAAUCAAUAAAACAAACACGCGAACCAAAAACCUGACAGUAUUGAACGUAUGAUCAAGCAAGUGUGAUUUAAUUUUCAUCAUUAAGUUCGUGUUUGCGAAGUCAAUUACAGCUAUGUCACCCCCCGGCCCACCACAUGGCCACCACGGGCCGCCGCCGCACCACCCACCGCCUCCACCUCACCAUCCACCACCGCCACCACACCAUGGCCCGCCGCCCCACUUCUUCGGACCGCCACCGCCAAAUCACCACGGGCCACCGCAUCACCACGGACCGCCCCACCACCACAGCCCACCUCACCCCCACGGGCCCUCACACCACCACGGACCCCCACACCAUCACCCUCCACCCCAUGGCCGCCACUUUUAAUAACACCUAGCAUUUAAAUAUUUUAGGGUUGUAUUUAUCGAAACAAUAAGAAAUUAAGAGAAAAUUCAAAUUUCUUCUUUAAUAAUAAAAACUUAGUAAUUAUUAUAUAUAAAUUAAUACAAUCAAUGUAUCAUCCACCAACAUGCAUUGAUUCAACGUUGUGGAAUAAUCUUCAAACUGUCUCCCCAUAAAGUAGAAGACACCUUAGGCCAGCGUUGAGAAAUUUACAGUCUGUUAAUUUUACAAUUAUAUAGGCUUACUAGCUGAACCUGCGGCUUUAGUUCCAUAAACUUCCAACCCCAGCUCUACCCACUUAGGGGUGGAUCUUCGUAAAAUCCGUUCUUAGGGGAUGUCUACACCCUAUGAGGAACCUACCUGGCAAAUUUCAAGUUUGUAGGUGUUACAGUUUCAGAAAUUUCGUAAUAAAUCAGUGACUGGUAUUUCGCUUUUAUAUAUAAAGAUUAAAUGUUUGAAUCAAAACCCCACAAAUAAUAUGAAAUCAAAUCAAAUCGAAUGUAUUUUAAUAUUAAUGUAACUGUGAAAAUUCAAUACGUUUGUAUAUUAAAUAAAUUUCGUAUUCUGAAAUAUUCCUUUUAAAGAAUAUAUGAGAAAUAAAUGAUAACAUUAU